AUCACUUCUCAGCCUUUUGGCUACAAUCAAGUGUAGUAUCUGUUCUUAUCAAUUUAAUAUCUGACACAUUCUCUGAGGACAUUAUAUUAAAUGUAUUUUUGGAAUAGGGAGAUGGAAUAGGAGCUUGCUCCAUCCACUCCACGCAUUGACCUGGCAUUGCAGUACCCCUAGGAAAGGUGCACACACA
Small nuclear RNA from Pipistrellus kuhlii (Kuhl's pipistrelle), 187 nucleotides. RefSeq annotates it as U2 spliceosomal RNA. The transcript has a single exon. The record is from RefSeq and is a predicted model, not a curated record. NCBI's taxonomy places the organism in Eukaryota, Metazoa, Chordata, Mammalia, Chiroptera, Vespertilionidae.